RNAcentral lists this long non-coding RNA (294 nucleotides) under Zostera marina. Its description in RNAcentral is "long non-coding RNA (ZMAR_LNC001293)". The record is from RNAcentral. Lineage: Eukaryota; Viridiplantae; Streptophyta; Magnoliopsida; Alismatales; Zosteraceae.
AUUAGGGAAGGGUUAUAUGGUUGAUGAGUGAGUGAGUUACGAUAUUGAUGAAGCACAGAAUCUGCUAUCAAGGGCUCGCGGCGGUGCGAGGUGAUGCCGGAGGCUUUGGAGUCCAUGACGCGCGAUCUACGUCAAAUCCUGGAGGAGGGGAAGAGACGAUUCAGGUGUAGGAAUCGGCGAUUCCUGUCUGAAUAUGCUCUAGUUGUGAUGGAACUGUGAUCUGCCUUGAAAUGACCUCUUGGGACCCUUUUUAUAGGGUCUUUGGGGGCGCAAUCUGGGACGGGCAUCACGUCC